CAAACUAGGGGUUUUUACAGAAAGAAGAGCCUGAUCAACUUAAAUCCCCACUCCAACAAUAGUCAAUCAUAUGUGCACACACUAACCGUUCUUGAACUCUCAAAAGGGCUCUACCUCUACCUAUACUUCAGAAUUCAUGACGGGGAAUGCUAACAAAUCAUGAUCUGGAGAGCUCAUACUGCAGAGACUCAAGUAAGCUAAAUCAUUCGGCAUUUUAUCCUGCAAACAAAGCCACUGUUUCAGCUCAGAAUCAUUCUAUAACAUAAGGCAGGUUCAAACCUAAGUCCCAUCAGUUUUGUUUGCCUCAAUCAGAACCAAAUGUUGUCCACAGAGGCUUUUGUAGUUGUGUUUCUCAUUGUCACGAGACAUUUAAUUUAGCUACAUUGAAGGUCAGUUAGGUACUAUUAUCCAUGUUUUAGAAGUGCAUUUGUUUCCUGACCAACAAAUAUUAAGCGAUAAAAACCACCUGUCUCAAGAUUACAUAUGAAGUUAGAAUCUGUAAAACAUUUGCUAAGCUUAAAAACCUUCUUUGCAUUGACUGGUUUAUUUAAGAAUUUCAGUGAUGAUGUAGCCAGAAGUUUAGGCUCAAGAAGAGAACAUAUAGCCUUGAUGUUAGGCUCAAAAAGAGGAAAAUCUAGGAAUAUUCAGAAUAUAUGCUUCCUAACCAAUAAGCUUUAGCUUAGUGGUAAUAGAUUUGUCUCCAGGACCAUGAGGUCUCAAAUUCGAGUCUCAGUCGGAACCAAUUGUAUAUAAACAAAUGCCAUGAUUUUUGUUUCCUGAGUGGAGUCAAGUCUAAGAGUACCUAAAAUGGCAUUUAAAUUUGCUUUUGGAUUGAAGCAACAUGGUCCCGGAACCCCUGAAAUCAUACAAAUAAAUGGAAUUUUGAGGCCUUAUUCUGGAAUGCUGCUCAAACAUAAUAGAAAAAAUUACAUACAUCCUCAGACUAACUAUUCCAUGACCUCCAAAUUUCAUUGUUUUGUCUACAAAUGCUUCUGGGCAAUUUUACUCAUAGACAGUCCACCAAUGGUUAAUGCAAGGGCUACUAACUAAAGUGACACAAACACUCGGAAAUCAAUAUAGAACAUUCCAUCCAUUCAAUGCAUCAGAUAUUCCAUGUGGCUAAGUUAUCAUGAAAGGUUGGUGAUUAAGAAUCUGCGAAAGAAAAAUAAUGAAUGACCACAACAUCCCAUUUGGCCUUACCAACGCUUUUCGUCCCAUUAAAUGAGUGGGGACUAAAACCAAUUACUGAACCUAUGUAGCACAUCAGAUAUUUAAGGCUUCGAGCCACUCAAAACAAAUUUGUUGAGCAAGAAAGGACAUCGUAGCACACUGUAUUCUAGCUAAUCACUGGGCUAAAGCUUAUGAAUACAACACAAUGAUUGGCUUAAAACUACAAGUGCGAAAGAUACUGACGGACUAUAAAAUUAGUUGGAACACCCAUCCACCAGGACUAUUUACACUUUAUAUCAAUAGUUCUUCUAUAGGAAACCCAGAAAAGGAUGGUUAGGUGUUCUCAUUCCUCCACAGAGUUUCCACAUCCCAGUUAGAAUCUCACAUAUACAGUGCUACUAUACUUUGCUUUUGGAGGAGCUGGAGCUUGCCUUCCAGUUCUCCACUAUACUUUUAUGGAAGUUACUAUUGCUACUGCUUAGUUGAUAAAAACGUCCCUUUGAAAUAAAAAGGGGAAACUCACAUAAACAGUGCUACUAUACAUUGCUUUUGGAGGAGCUGGAGCUCUCAAUUAUUCACUAUAUUUUUAUGGCAAUUACUAUUGCCACUGCUUAGUUGACAAAAACGUCCAUUUGAAAUAAAAAGGGGGAAAGAAAAAAUUUGGCGCUGCAUGCUAUGGUUUUAAGGAAUUCAUAGCCCACAAGAAUCCACGAUCUCUCCUCUUACGAGUUUAGGCAAACACACCAACAAUAAUGGAAGAAAAUUAACACAUCCUUAGCAUGAGACCAAAUAUCAAGAAUACAAUAAAUUUCCCUAAGAAAAUGAAAAUAUGAACUGACCUUUUUAUGCAAAUGGACCAGUUUACUGAAGCAGCGCUCGAUAGAUGGGUAGAAAAGUAACUUCAGAGAGGAGAAGAAGCCAUUGAAGGGAAGGUUCACUGCAAAUGGGGAAAAAAAAAUUUGGACCAUUUCU
RNAcentral lists this unclassified non-coding RNA (2142 nucleotides) under Hevea brasiliensis (rubber tree). The record is from RNAcentral. Lineage: Eukaryota; Viridiplantae; Streptophyta; Magnoliopsida; Malpighiales; Euphorbiaceae.